This 254-nucleotide ribosomal RNA is filed under the name uncultured bacterium. RNAcentral's name for it is "partial 16S ribosomal RNA". It matches the Rfam family "Bacterial small subunit ribosomal RNA", at positions 524 to 776 of the family's 1533-position model. The record is from RNAcentral.
UACGGGGGGAGCAAGCGUUGUUCGGAUUUACUGGGCGUAAAGGGCGCGUAGGCGGCCACCGCAAGUCGGUUGUGAAAUCUCCGGGCUUAACCCGGAAAGGUCAAUCGAUACUGCGGGGCUAGAGUGCAGAAGGGGUAACUGGAAUUCUCGGUGUAGCGGUGAAAUGCGUAGAUAUCGAGAGGAACACCUGCGGCGAAGGCGGGUUGCUGGGCUGACGCUGACGCUGAAGCGCGAAAGCUAGGGGAGCGAACGGG